GUCGUGGCCGAGUGGUUAAGGCGUUGGACUCGAAAUCCAAUGGAUCUUCCCGCACAGGUUUAAUGUGUAAAAUUAGCGUAAAUG
This 84-nucleotide transfer RNA is filed under the name Cordylochernes scorpioides. RNAcentral's name for it is "tRNA-Ser". The record is from RNAcentral. Lineage: Eukaryota; Metazoa; Arthropoda; Arachnida; Pseudoscorpiones; Chernetidae.